RNAcentral lists this ribosomal RNA (301 nucleotides) under uncultured bacterium. Its description in RNAcentral is "partial 16S ribosomal RNA". It matches the Rfam family "Bacterial small subunit ribosomal RNA", at positions 509 to 807 of the family's 1533-position model. The record is from RNAcentral.
CAGCCGCCACGGGAAUACGUAGGUGGCAAGCGUUGUCCGGAUUUAUUGGGCGUAAAGCGAGCGCAGGCGGUUUCUUAAGUCUGAUGUGAAAGCCCCCGGCUCAACCGGGGAGGGUCAUUGGAAACUGGGAGACUUGAGUGCAGAAGAGGAGAGUGGAAUUCCAUGUGUAGCGGUGAAAUGCGUAGAUAUAUGGAGGAACACCAGUGGCGAAGGCGGCUCUCUGGUCUGUAACUGACGCUGAGGCUCGAAAGCGUGGGGAGCGAACAGGAUUAGAUACCCCCGUAGUCCCUGUCUCUUAUAC